CCUGAGAAACCCAAAAGAUCGAAUGGGGAGAUUCAUCGUCAGCUCAUUUUGUAUAUAUAUGAGUUAUGAUAUGGGUUACUACUUGUAGUAUUGCCUGUACAUUCUUGUAUAUUUUAUUGCAAGAUGUUGUCGGCGUUGCACUUCUCCCCUAGUAGGACGUCGCGACCCGUUGAGUGUCGGUCUACGGCCCAAGUGGUAGCCUUUAAUUCUUGUAAUUAAAGACCCUUGGUGUUUCCUGGCUGACUGCUCGGCGGUAUUCGUACGGUAUUAAGCCGCUUUUUAGCGUUCAUAUCCGUCGCAAGCGCGGUCAAUUUUUGGUAGUACGGACCUAGUGCCGUCGCUAUAAUUGAUCAGCUGUUGGUUGUACGGUAUUCUAGAACUGGCUUAACAUAUACCGGUCUGCGAUGCUACUGCUUUGGUA
RNAcentral lists this ribosomal RNA (421 nucleotides) under Opius exiguus. Its description in RNAcentral is "eukaryotic LSU rRNA". Lineage: Eukaryota; Metazoa; Arthropoda; Insecta; Hymenoptera; Braconidae. The record is from RNAcentral.